Molecule: ribosomal RNA, 253 nt
Filed under: uncultured organism
Description: partial 16S ribosomal RNA
Rfam family: Bacterial small subunit ribosomal RNA
Source: RNAcentral
UACAGAGGGUGCGAGCGUUAAUCGGAAUUACUGGGCGUAAAGCGAGCGUAGGUGGCUAAUUAAGUCACAUGUGAAAUCCCUGGGCUUAACCUAGGAACUGCAUGUGAUACUGGUUAGCUAGAGUAUGUGAGAGGGGUGUAGAAUUCCAGGUGUAGCGGUGAAAUGCGUAGAGAUCUGGAGGAAUACCGAUGGCGAAGGCAGCACCCUGGCAUAAUACUGACACUGAGGUUCGAAAGCGUGGGUAGCAAACAGG